This 459-nucleotide ribosomal RNA is filed under the name uncultured bacterium. RNAcentral's name for it is "partial 16S ribosomal RNA". It matches the Rfam family "Bacterial small subunit ribosomal RNA", at positions 338 to 795 of the family's 1533-position model. The record is from RNAcentral.
CCUACGGGAGGCAGCAGUGAGGACUCUUGGUCACUGGCCGGAAGGCUGAACCAGCCAAGCCGCGUGAAGGACGAAGGUGCCAAGCAUUGUAAACUUCUUUUGUCAAGGGACAAAAUCAGGCUCGAGAGCCUGACCGAGGGUCCUUGAAGCAAAAGCAUCGGCUAACUCCGUGCCAGCAGCCGCGGUAAUACGGGGGAUGCGAGCGUUCUCCGUAUUUAUUGGGUUUAAAGCGUGCGUAGGCGGACUGUUAAGUCAGCGGUAAAAGCCCGGGGCUCAACCCCGGCGAGCCGUUGAAACUGGCUGUCUGGAGAUGUCGAGAGGUAUGCGGAAUGCGCAGGGUAGCGGGGAAAGGCUUAGAUAUUGCGCAGAACUCCGAUUGCGAAGGCAGCAUACCGGCGGCGAUCUGACGCUGAGGCACGAAAGCGUGGGUAUCGAACAGGAUGAGAUACCCCAGUAGUC